RNAcentral lists this ribosomal RNA (497 nucleotides) under uncultured bacterium. RNAcentral's name for it is "partial 16S ribosomal RNA". It matches the Rfam family "Bacterial small subunit ribosomal RNA", at positions 28 to 507 of the family's 1533-position model. The record is from RNAcentral.
GAUGAACGCUGGCGGCGUGCCUAAUACAUGCAAGUCGAGCGAACAGAUGAGGAGCUUGCUCCUCUGACGUUAGCGGCGGACGGGUGAGUAACACGUGGAUAACCUACCUAUAAGACUGGGAUAACUUCGGGAAACCGGAGCUAAUACCGGAUAAUAUAUUGAACCGCAUGGUUCAAUAGUGAAAGACGGUUUUGCUGUCACUUAUAGAUGGAUCCGCGCCGCAUUAGCUAGUUGGUAAGGUAACGGCUUACCAAGGCAACGAUGCGUAGCCGACCUGAGAGGGUGAUCGGCCACACUGGGACUGAGACACGGUCCAGACUCCUACGGGAGGCAGCAGUAAGGAAUCUUCCGCAAUGGGCGAAAGCCUGACGGAGCAACGCCGCGUGAGUGAUGAAGGUCUUCGGAUCGUAAAACUCUGUUAUUAGGGAAGAACAAAUGUGUAAGUAACUAUGCACGUCUUGACGGUACCUAAUCAGAAAGCCACGGCUAACUACGUG